AAUAAGUUUGAUUCUUGCUUAUUUAUUAAUUUAUUAAUUGAAUUAUAUGCUUGUUUUUUAAUGUUUAUUUUGCAGUAAUUAGUUUUGUUAUUUAAUAUUUUUGUUUUUUGUCAGUAAAUUAAUUAUAAUGGAUAAAUUUUGUGCCAGCAUUCGCGGUUAUACAAUUCAUUAAAGUUAAUGUUUUGUCUGUUUAAUUAUUAUUUUUUUGGUUAAAAUUAAUUUUAUUUAGGUGAAAUUUAUAUUUUGUUUUUCCUUUUUUAAUUUUUAAUAAAUCAUUUGUUUAAACUAGGAUUAGAUACCCUAUUAUUUAUGUAUUUAAAUUUGUUUAUGUGAUUACUAAUAGUUAUGUUCUAUAAAACUCAAAGAAUUUGGCGGUAAUUUAUAUCUUUUUAGAGGAACCUGUAUUUUAAUUGAUAAACCACGAUAAUUUCUACCUUAAAAUUUAUUUGUAUAUCUCUAUAUUUGUGAAUGUUAUUUAAGUAAAUUUUCUUUAUGUUUUUUAAGUUAAUGUUAGGUCAAGGUGCAGUUUUUUUUAGGUUUAUAUGGGUUACAUUAAUUUUAAAUAAAUAUUGUUUUUAUUGUUUACGAUAAUUUUAAAAUAGGAUUUAAUAGUAAUUUUAAUUAAUUAAUUAUUUUGAAUUUAGCUCUAAUUUAUGUACAUAUCGCCCGUCACUCUCUUUAAAAUGGGAUAAGUCGUAACAAAGUAGGUGUACCGGAAGGUGUAGCUAGUAAGU
This 734-nucleotide non-coding RNA is filed under the name Idioscopus nitidulus. Lineage: Eukaryota; Metazoa; Arthropoda; Insecta; Hemiptera; Cicadellidae. The record is from RNAcentral.